Molecule: ribosomal RNA, 667 nt
Filed under: Bacillus sp. (in: firmicutes)
Lineage: Bacteria; Bacillati; Bacillota; Bacilli; Caryophanales; Bacillaceae
Description: bacterial SSU rRNA
Rfam family: Bacterial small subunit ribosomal RNA
Source: RNAcentral
CCUAAUACAUGCAGUCGAGCGAAUGGAUUGAGAGCUUGCUCUCAAGAAGUUAGCGGCGGACGGGUGAGUAACACGUGGGUAACCUGCCCAUAAGACUGGGAUAACUCCGGGAAACCGGGGCUAAUACCGGAUAACAUUUUGAACUGCAUGGUUCGAAAUUGAAAGGCGGCUUCGGCUGUCACUUAUGGAUGGACCCGCGUCGCAUUAGCUAGUUGGUGAGGUAACGGCUCACCAAGGCAACGAUGCGUAGCCGACCUGAGAGGGUGAUCGGCCACACUGGGACUGAGACACGGCCCAGACUCCUACGGGAGGCAGCAGUAGGGAAUCUUCCGCAAUGGACGAAAGUCUGACGGAGCAACGCCGCGUGAGUGAUGAAGGCUUUCGGGUCGUAAAACUCUGUUGUUAGGGAAGAACAAGUGCUAGUUGAAUAAGCUGGCACCUUGACGGUACCUAACCAGAAAGCCACGGCUAACUACGUGCCAGCAGCCGCGGUAAUACGUAGGUGGCAAGCGUUAUCCGGAAUUAUUGGGCGUAAAGCGCGCGCAGGUGGUUUCUUAAGUCUGAUGUGAAAGCCCACGGCUCAACCGUGGAGGGUCAUUGGAAACUGGGAGACUUGAGUGCAGAAGAGGAAAGUGGAAUUCCAUGUGUAGCGGUGAAAUGCGUAGAG